CGGCCGGACAAGUCCGUUGGGAAAUCGACGCGCCUAACGCGUCGGCGUCCAGCGGAAACUGUCCGGCUUGGGGCCGGAAGACUCGAGGGGUACGUCCGGGGUAGGAGUGAAAUCCCGUAAUCCUGGACGGACCGCCGGUGGCGAAAGCGCCUCGAGAGGACGGACCCGACGGUCAGGGACGAAAGCUAGGGUCUCGAACCGGAUUAGAUACCCGGGUAGUCCUAGCUGUAAACGAUGCUCGCUAGGUGUGGCGCAGGCUACGAGCCUGCGCUGUGCCGUAGGGAAGCCGUGAAGCGAGCCGCCUGGGAA
RNAcentral lists this ribosomal RNA (309 nucleotides) under uncultured archaeon. RNAcentral describes it as "bacterial SSU rRNA". It matches the Rfam family "Archaeal small subunit ribosomal RNA", at positions 526 to 834 of the family's 1478-position model. The record is from RNAcentral.